GUUUGCCUCCAGAGCGUGCAGGCUGGGAAGGAGCGUGCAGGAAGGAGCGUGCGCGAAUUGGGGGGCAGGGACUGGAGCUGGGCUGGGCUGUGAAGGAAGUUUAGACGUUGGACUUUGUCUAGUUGAUCGGCAUCACCUUCUUGCUGAGUGACUUUUAUACCUUAUUUUCAACAAAUCAGCCACAGACACCAUAGUGCAUUUAAAAAUGCCGCCAUGGGCUGCUGCCAGUGCUCACGCAGGGUCACAAAUACUCUUCAUUGUUUCAUGGAUGGCACAGCUCCGGGCCGGAGCGCCCGCCGAGACCCUUGUCAUGGGCGCACACCCUCUGUCUCGGGAAUCUUGCUGUUCCUUCUGCGGGAUGGCUCCUCUGUCAGGACCAUUUGAAAUCCUCCCAGUGAAAUGGGAGCACGCUUUUAAGCCAUGAAAAUAAACACGAGUUCCGCCACCAGGACUCAGAGGGAAGCAGGAAUUUAUGAUGCUGGAUCGCUCUCUUUCUCCUGCUUUUGUUUUCAGAAAAACAAUUAGGGAUUCUGUGAUAGGCAGCCUCGAAGGUGGCCCGCAAUGAUCCCAUUCACCUUGUAUGUACACCUUUGAAUGUAGUGUGGACGAAGUGACUUGCUUCUAAAGAAGAGAGCAGAGCGGAAGUGGUGGGAUGUCACUUCUGAUAUUUGGUUAUAAAAAGACUGUGGCUUCCAUCUUGGGUGCUCUCUCUUACCCACUCUUGGAUCACACGGCCUAGAUGACUCCAGUCACAAAAUCAUGAGGCAGCCUGUGGAGAGGCCCAGGGGGUGAGGGACAGGGGCAUGACAACAGCCACGUGAGUAAGCUCGGAAACAGACCCCCACACCUCAUAUCAAGCCUUCAGAUGAGACCACAGCCCCAGCUGACAGCUUGACUGCAACUUCAUGAGACAUCUUCAGCCGCAGACACCCAGCCAGGCUGUGUUCAUGUUCCUGACUGAUAGGAAGCAUGAGACAAUAAACGUUUGUCAUUUUAAGCUGCCAAGUUUUGGGGUAAUUUGUUACACAGCAAAAUAUAACUACAGCUUCCUAGCCCAGCAAGAAGUAAAAAGUGGCAGGGAAUUAAGAGAGUGAUUCUGGUAAAA
Molecule: long non-coding RNA, 1105 nt
Filed under: Equus asinus (donkey)
Lineage: Eukaryota; Metazoa; Chordata; Mammalia; Perissodactyla; Equidae
Description: lncRNA (ENSEASG00005038517.1)
Source: RNAcentral